RNAcentral lists this ribosomal RNA (218 nucleotides) under uncultured bacterium. RNAcentral's name for it is "partial 16S ribosomal RNA". It matches the Rfam family "Bacterial small subunit ribosomal RNA", at positions 328 to 539 of the family's 1533-position model. The record is from RNAcentral.
ACGCUCGACACCUACGGGGGGCAGCAGUGAGGAAUAUUGGUCAAUGGACGCAAGUCUGAACCAGCCAUGCCGCGUGCAGGAUGACGGCUCUAUGAGUUGUAAACUGCUUUUGUACGAGGGUAAACGCAGAUACGCGUAUCUGUCUGAAAGUAUCGUACGAAUAAGGAUCGGCUAACUCCGUGACAGCAGCCGCGGUAAUCUGAGCGGGCUGGCAAGGC